GACGAACGCUGGCGGCGUGCUUAACACAUGCAAGUCGAACGGAAAGGCCCUGCUUUUGUGGGGUGCUCGAGUGGCGAACGGGUGAGUAACACGUGAGUAACCUGCCCUUGACUUUGGGAUAACUUCAGGAAACUGGGGCUAAUACCGGAUAGGAGCUCCUGCUGCAUGUUGGGGGUUGGAAAGUUUCGGCGGUUGGGGAUGGACUCGCGGCUUAUCAGCUUGUUGGUGGGGUAGUGGCUUACCAAGGCUUUGACGGGUAGCCGGCCUGAGAGGGUGACCGGCCAAAUUGGGACUGAGAUACGGCCCAGACGCCAACGGGAGGCAGCAGUGGGGAAUAGUGCACAAUGGGCGGAAGCCUGAUGCAGCAACGCCGCGUGCGGGAUGACGGCCUUCGGGUUGUAAACCGCUUUCGCCUGUGACGAAGCGUGAGUGACGGUAAUGGGUAAAGAAGCACCGGCUAACUACGUG
This 468-nucleotide ribosomal RNA is filed under the name uncultured bacterium. Its description in RNAcentral is "partial 16S ribosomal RNA". It matches the Rfam family "Bacterial small subunit ribosomal RNA", at positions 28 to 507 of the family's 1533-position model. The record is from RNAcentral.